This is a non-coding RNA of Meriones unguiculatus (Mongolian gerbil), 369 nucleotides long. NCBI's taxonomy places the organism in Eukaryota, Metazoa, Chordata, Mammalia, Rodentia, Muridae. The record is from the annotation of a RefSeq genome assembly.
AUGAAGCCAUCCAUUCCUACUGUAGUCCCUUUCUUGUGGCUGUGGAUGAACUGGGAGAGCCUCGGAGAGCAGGUGGAGCAGCACCCUUCUUCCCUGAGUGUUCACGAGGGAGGCAGCGCUGUCAUCAACUGCACUUACACAGACAGUGCUUCCUUAUACUUCCCUUGGUACAAGCAAGAAGCUGGAAAGGGUCCCCACCUUGGGAUAGACAUUCGUGGAAAUGUGGACAGAAAGCAGAACCAAAGGCUCACCAUUUUCUUGGAUAAGAAAGCCAAAUGCUUCUCCCUGCACAUCACGGACACUCAGCCUGGAGACUCAGCCAUGUACUUCUGUGCAGCAAGACCUAUCACUCAGAAGGGACAGAUUUAG